This is a long non-coding RNA of Mauremys reevesii (Reeves's turtle), 319 nucleotides long. RefSeq lists it as uncharacterized. The transcript has 3 exons. Lineage: Eukaryota; Metazoa; Chordata; Testudines; Geoemydidae. The record is from RefSeq and is a predicted model, not a curated record.
CUCAUCUCUGCUGGCUCCUUCCCGCACCCCCGAAAUGAGUAACGCCAGGAGCCAGGAGAUGAAGAAACCAGCUCCUCAGGCAUGUGGGCCUCAAACAGAUCAGUGAAUUACCUGCAAGAUUGCAGAGGUGCGAAGCUGCCGCACAAAGCGCGGAGCAAUGGAGGCCUGACUGGGAGAACCUCUUUGCAAGGGAACAGGGAAUUCAGAGAAAGAGGUGCGUCGCCCUUUGAAUAGCCCGUGGGACUAGAACUCCAGACUGCUGGGCUCUAUUCCAGGCUCCGCAGCGGAACUGAAUAGCUCACAGGAGCAAGCGCCAGGA